Centruroides sculpturatus (bark scorpion) is the source of this 490-nucleotide long non-coding RNA. RefSeq lists it as uncharacterized. The record is from RefSeq and is a predicted model, not a curated record. Lineage: Eukaryota; Metazoa; Arthropoda; Arachnida; Scorpiones; Buthidae. The transcript has 3 exons.
ACCAUUAAUGGAGAAGGUCCUGAUAAUCAUCUUCUAUGCUUGAAAGAAUUUUCUCACAACAAAAGACAGUAUGAUCCAGCACUAUUUAGAGAUAAAUCGUAUCAAGAAUAUCUAAACUUUUGUCUGCAAAUAAAGCAGAUUAAUUCCAAAUAUAAUAUAAUCGUGGGAUAUGGACCUAUGACGAGGGACGGCUAUAGUUGCUGUUUUAAUCUUCAAGAACAUCAAAUAAUAUUCACUCUGACAUCAUUUAAUACAUUCGAAAAAACAGAUUUGCAAAGUUUUGCCCAACAUUUGACAUCAAGUUUGAUCGAAAUCGGCGAAUUUUGUCAAAAGAAUUUACGAAAACUCACAAUAAGCACCAAAGAGAAAUCAUUGCGUAAAUUAAAGCGAGAAUAAUUAUCUAAAUCGAGUCAUAAAGUUUAUUAGCUAUGAGAUGUUACCAUUGACACCAUGAUUAAAUUUCUUUAAUUGAAUAAAUUAAUUUCAAAAU